GGGCUUUGUGUUAGGGUUGGGAA
RNAcentral lists this non-coding RNA (23 nucleotides) under Cricetulus griseus (Chinese hamster). The record is from RNAcentral. Lineage: Eukaryota; Metazoa; Chordata; Mammalia; Rodentia; Cricetidae.